Molecule: long non-coding RNA, 598 nt
Filed under: Carica papaya (papaya)
Lineage: Eukaryota; Viridiplantae; Streptophyta; Magnoliopsida; Brassicales; Caricaceae
Description: long non-coding RNA (CPAP_LNC015675)
Source: RNAcentral
AAUGUUGGAUGUGCUUAGGGAGAUACUCCGCAUGGAAAGCCGCUAGGAACUGCUCCCAAGUAACUGGUACAGGUAGGGUGGCCCGCUUGAGCUCCCACCAGCGUACUGCUUCCCCUACCAGCAUGUAGGAGGCAAUGGCAGCCCUCUGCUCGGGAACUACUCCCAAGGUCUCAAAAGCUCUCUCAGUCUCUGCCAGCCAGUAUUGGGCCUCUUCGAACGAGGAUCCCCCUGAAAAAGUAGAAGGGUUCAGUCUCUUGUACCUCUCUAUGAAGCUGGGGUCGAUCAAGGAGGGAGCGGGGUCCCGAGGUAGAGGGACUGGGGUCGGCUGAGGGUGGACUGGGGGACCCUGUGGUGGCGCCUGCUGAUAGGGUGGGGGCACUGGAAUGUGCUGUGGCGGCACCUGUUGGUACUGUGGCUGUGGUACCGGAUCGUACCGCGGCUGUGGUGCCGGGUGGUAUCGUGGAGGGACAGGCUCCUGCCGGGGUGGCUCGGGAUCAGCCUGCUGUAGCGGGGGCUCGACCUGCGCUAGUGGAGGAGGUCCCGGUAACUCCCUUCUCUCCUAUUGUCUUCGCUGGGCAGCUGCGAGAGCCUCCACCAU